GACGAACGCUGGCGGCGUGCUUAACACAUGCAAGUCGAACGGCAAGGCCCUGCUUUUUUGGUGUUCUCGAGUGCCGGUCGCGUGCGUAACACGUGAGUAACCUGCUCUUCUCUUUGGUAUAACUUCACGUAACUGGGGUUAAUCUCGUAUAGGAUCUCCUCCUGCAUGGUGGGCGUUGGAACUUUUCGGCGGUUGGGGAUGGAUUCGCGGGUUAUGAGCUUGUUGGUGGGGUAGUGGCUUACCAAGGCUUUGACGGGUCGGCGGCCUGGGAGGGUGAACGGCCACAUGGGGACUGAGGGACGGACCAGACGCCUAUGGGAGGCAGUGGGGGGGAAUAUUGCACAGUGGGAGGAAGUGGGAGGAAGAAACGCUGGGGGCGGGAUGACGGCUUUCGGGUUGUAAACAGCUUCAGGCUGUGACGAAGCGGGAGUGACGGUAAUGGGUAAAGAAGCACCGGCUAACUACGUG
Molecule: ribosomal RNA, 468 nt
Filed under: uncultured bacterium
Lineage: Bacteria
Description: partial 16S ribosomal RNA
Rfam family: Bacterial small subunit ribosomal RNA
Source: RNAcentral